CACUCGUCAAGUAAAGAUGCAAGCAUUUAUCGCGCUCCUUGUGAUGACUGUUCUGAUGGCAGACAUCGGCCUAGGCCACCAAAUACCAUAGGUAGGCCCACAACAAUGGGUUGGGCCCCACGUGAUAGGACGAGGAUGGCUCCAGUGUGACCAGAAAAACCGCCCUACACACGUGACCCCGGCGCAAGUCUGUGAUGGAGUCAUGCACUGCCACGACGGGGCCGACGAACUUAAUUGCAUAGCAACGACGACCACGACGUGUUCACCAUGCCCGACGGCGAGACCGUGUAUAUAGAAGGCACCACGGCGAGACCGGUUACACAGGCGAUUAUUGUAUAUUUUCUGUCAUGUGGCAAAUAGUAACUGCUAUAUGUAUUCAAC
This is a long non-coding RNA of Dreissena polymorpha, 381 nucleotides long. RefSeq lists it as uncharacterized. The record is from RefSeq and is a predicted model, not a curated record. NCBI's taxonomy places the organism in Eukaryota, Metazoa, Mollusca, Bivalvia, Myida, Dreissenidae. The transcript has 4 exons.